RNAcentral lists this ribosomal RNA (373 nucleotides) under uncultured organism. RNAcentral's name for it is "partial 16S ribosomal RNA". It matches the Rfam family "Bacterial small subunit ribosomal RNA", at positions 527 to 896 of the family's 1533-position model. The record is from RNAcentral.
GUAGGUGGCAAGCGUUGUCUGGAAUUAUUGGGCGUAAAGCGCGCGCAGGUGGUUCUUUAAGUCUGAUGUGAAAGCCCCCGGGCUCAACCGGGGAGGGUCAUUGGAAACUGGGGAACUUGAGUGCAGGAGAGGAAAGUGGAAUUCCACGUGUAGCGGUGAAAUGCGUAGAUAUGUGGAGGAACACCAGUGGCGAAGGCGACUUUCUGGCCUGUAACUGACACUGAGGCGCGAAAGCGUGGGGAGCAAACAGGAUUAGAUACCCUGGUAGUCCACGCCGUAAACGAUGAGUGCUAAGUGUUGGGGGGUUUCCGCCCCUCAGUGCUGCAGCUAACGCAUUAAGCACUCCGCCUGGGGAGUACGGUCGCAAAGACUG